UAAGGACUCAAUGAGUACUAUUAUUUAAAAUUAUUAUGUAUUUAUUAUAGCGAUUCGUUAAUCGUUUCUUCCAUUCUACUGCGAAGUGUAUAGUCGCUAUACUCUCAUUCUGAAAGUAAAACUAAUGUGACGACGAUGAUUAUUUGAACGGUGGUUUUAAUCCGGGAAAACGUUGCAUAAAUAUGUGGGAUGAAGGCUGUGUCAACGGACAACUUCAAGGCUCAGGCGGAGACGACGAUUAUCUGAAUGGUGGUUUUAACCCUGGG
Molecule: long non-coding RNA, 266 nt
Organism: Pieris napi
Lineage: Eukaryota; Metazoa; Arthropoda; Insecta; Lepidoptera; Pieridae
Exons: 3
Source: RefSeq, a predicted model, not a curated record